GGUCGUGAGGGAAAUUUGGCUAUAGCAUCUUUGUAUUUAUCACUAGGGUUGAGUCUGUCAGUCUGGAUGGCUUCAAGGGUGUGCCCUUCCUCUGUCACCAUGCCAUGUGUGUGUGUAUCUAUAGGGGAGGGCACUCUUUGGUUAGUGAUAUAUGAGCAGUUGAGCUUUCUUGCUGGGAACUCCAAAAAGCUCUCAAGAGGGAUAUGCAGGCAUAUGUCUACUUGGGAUUUAUAGAGGGGCCAUAAGCUUGGACUGUGGGUCAGAAAGACUUGGUUGUGACCUUGGCUGGAAGAACAACCCCAAUGACGUCAUUUCUC
RNAcentral lists this small RNA (317 nucleotides) under Mus caroli (Ryukyu mouse). RNAcentral's name for it is "sRNA (MGP_CAROLIEiJ_G0008442.1)". The stretch from base 1 to 233 matches the Rfam family "7SK RNA". Rfam says of the family: 7SK was discovered as an abundant small nuclear RNA in the mid-70s but a possible function has only recently been suggested. Two independent studies have found that 7SK RNA binds the CDK9/cyclin T complex (known as elongation factor P-TEFb). Lineage: Eukaryota; Metazoa; Chordata; Mammalia; Rodentia; Muridae. The record is from RNAcentral.